This is a long non-coding RNA of Ruditapes philippinarum (Manila clam), 2729 nucleotides long. RefSeq lists it as uncharacterized. NCBI's taxonomy places the organism in Eukaryota, Metazoa, Mollusca, Bivalvia, Venerida, Veneridae. The record is from RefSeq and is a predicted model, not a curated record. The transcript is spliced from 6 exons.
UACAGCGUGAUACGCUCGGUCGAUUCAAAAAAAGUGUAAUAAAAAGAUGCAGAAACUCAAGUAUUCCGACUUUAUUAUAGAACAUAACAAUAGUGCAGGUAACCAGUAUUACGUGUCAACCAAACCAGCUCUACAAGACAUCAACUCUUCCUAAAUCGGUUGAUAAUGAGGGUUGGAAAGAGGGAAGAAGAAUCGUUGAGUUUGGCGUGUUACGGUCAAACCUAAGAUUUUGUAAAAAAUGUAGACUUGGACCAGUUGGGCUACCAUUAACAGCACUGAUUAACUUUUGACAACAUGUUAGGUGAAUUUAAACAGGGAGUGUCUGGUUAUUUGUAUGUGAAAUGUCGAAACACAGAAUGCGGUCAUAUGAAUUGUGUUCCCUAUGGAAAAACACACAGACUCUAGUAGAUUGAAGACCUGUGAAAGUUGGAAUGCCAUGUUUCGUUGUCAACACAAAAUUAGGAACAGCAAUGAUUGAUAGUGUAGGUGGGCCGGUGAGGGUCAACAAUUUGUUGUCAACACUAAAUAUACCAACAAUUGGAAAUAAAAACAUGAAAAGAAAUGGAGAUACGUGUUGGAAAUAUCAUUGAGACAGCACUGGCUUCUAUGCCGACAGAAUCUGCUGCAUAAGAUCAAGGAAAUGGAGGAUGUGCAUCAUGAAGAAUCAAUGGUAUCAGAACACAACAUCAUGGAAGAUCUUAUUGACAAGAUCUCGGAGGAUGUCCUUUGCCAGAUGUUUGCCAGCACUAAAGUCUAUUCAUCAGUCAGAUGCUACAGUUACAAAUGACAGUGAAUGGUCAGAUUUAUACAAUUGUGAUUAACAAUCCUCAACAAUACAUCAAACAAAAAUGCCUAUUAAACUUUCUCACAGACAGUCAAAGGUUGAAAACAAAUCAGAAGUGGUCCACAUCUUAAAAAACCUCACAGCAGAUUAAGACUUUCCCCGAAAUUUCCCUGUAAAACCCGCAGUGGUAUGUCCAGUGCAGUAGAUACUGCCUGGCACAAAAGAGGAUUUGACAGUUUAACAUUGUAUUGCACCAUUAAACUAAAUAUGGAGAGAAGCUUAGUCACCAAAGCAGUCAACACCAAAAUACACACAAUGGCCAGGGCACUUAAACUUGGAAGAGUGAAAGAGUAAAGUAGUGCGUUUUUUUAGCUAACAAAGUGACAUUGCUAGCUUUUGUCUAUCUUUCGUCCGUAAACUUGAUCUUUAAACAACAUCUCAUAAAUUGCCAAGCCAAUUUCAUGCAAACUUACGAUAUUGUCUAGUCAGUUUUUGUUUUGCUUGCAAUCGUUAUAUGACAUGACUAAAGACAUUUAGUUUUAUUCUUAAGUUAUUAUGUUUAUGUUUGUAUAAGACCCAAAUAUAUUGUUAAGAUUCAUUUUUACAAAUUUGAAAGCCAUUAUUGUUCUAGUCAGUUUUUGUUUUGCUUGCAAUCAUUAUAUUACAUGCAGGCUGUCCAGCGUCCCUAAAAUUCCUAAAAAAUCCUAAUUUUUUUCAGUUUGGCUAAAAUUCCUAAACAAAUGAAUAAUUCAAAGGGAAUUCCUAAAAAAGCCCUAUUUUUUCACUUAAAUUCCUAUUUUUUAUCUUUUGUGAUAAACAUAUUGCGAAACAACCAUGUUUCAAUCACAACUUAAAUUUUAAAUGGAACAAUGAAAAUUGUCGAACUUUGACUAUAUCAAAAUAGUCACCUGUUUAAAAUUGUGAUAAAAAAAUUUCCAAGGAAGUUACAUUUUUAUUGGCUUUAGAGUUUUACCAUUUACCUCAGUCUUAGGUUUAUGUAAAGCAACUAUUUACAUGAUGAACCACAAAUUUCAUCAAACUUUAUGUAGGGGUCCUUAUUAAUAAAGUCUUAAUUUGUAAUCAAGUUAUUUUCAAGUGAUGACUGUAGAACAGAUAUUUUGUAAGUGAUACCAGCUGGCAGAUCUAGACAAGUUUCCUUUGCUUAUUAUAAAGUGGGUAAGGUAAACUGGCAGUAAUGAUUGGAUGCUUUAACCAUUUUGCUACCCAAUUAGGGUACUAAGAAGUGACACCUUCGUAUACAUUAACAUGUACUGAACAUAAUUAUGUUAUAACAUAUAGUGUAAGUUUUUUUUAAAAUAUGGAAAAAAACUGUUGAAAAUCAUUGAAAGAACUGACACUGUUGUGAAAUUUCUACAAUUUUUAGUAGCCUGAUUUAUCUUGAACGAAUUCUUCAUAGGUGUAUACCCUGCUGUUUGAAUUUAAGUUUUAAUAUUCCUGGGAAUGAUUUGAGUGGGUCAUAAUGUUUUUAUUAUUUUUUAAGAAAGAUCUAGACUUGUUGAAAAUGUACCAACCUUAAAACGAUAAAUGUUGAUAAUAAAUGCAUUUAUAGCUAAAAUAAAUUUAAAGCAUAAUUUCCCCUUCCAUUUAUUAUUGGCUAAUCAUAGCUUAACUAAUUGAAUAUUGGUUGUUCAGGGAUACUUAUAACUUUGAAAAUGUUUUCAUUCUAGUUAUGUUUGAAUGUAGUUUUUCAGCUCUUUUUAAAGGCAGUUGACCAGUGAAUCAAUUUCUUCACUGGUGACUAUGGAACACUGGUAACACCUUUGCUAUAACCGAACUAGAGCAUUAUGAGUGAGUUACUUUUGUGUCAAAUAUGCAAAGUUGAGCCCAUAUCAUGGUCUUUUGAGGUCAUAAUUUAGUUACAAAUUCCAAAUUUUAGCCCUAAAAUUUCUUUUAUUUACCCUAAAAUUCCUAAUUUUAGCCCUAA